GUAUAGUAUUUAAAAUUUUAUUUAAUUGUUGAUGUUUUGUUUAUAUUUAUUAUUAUUGUUUAGUGUGAUAUAGUAAACUUAACUAUACUAUACUGAAGUAUGAUACUUAUACUAUAUCAUACUAUACUGAAUUAUAUAUUUUAAUUGUUAUUAAAUAGCUCAUGGUACACCAAUAGAUUGGUAUAAUUUUUUCCGAGAAGUAUCAGAAGAUAUUGUAAUAAAUAAUUCAGAAAAGAUAGGAGGCUUUGGUAUAACAGUAGAAAUUGAUGAAUCCAAAUCAGUGUAUCGUAUUUGGUUAUUAAAAUAAAAGUAUUUUAAAAUAAAAUACUUAAAAUACGUAUUUUAUUCGGUAUUUGUAUUUGGGCUGUUUCUUAUUUAAAGUAUUUGUAGCCUAUUUGUAUUGGUCGUUUACGCUGAAAGGGAAUAAAAUACAAAUACGAAUACAAAAUACUUUUUUUUCAAAGAUUUAAAGUUUGUAAGUUGGCAACAGUGUAUGAAUCGAAAGUAACUUCAUUUUGACAGCGUUAUUGCACCUGCAAAACGUUUUGCAAUAGCAUUUUCUAGUUUAAAAACUUUCAAUUGCAUUUUUCGUCGUCUUUUUGUCUCGUGUGUGUUUUCAUUAAACCACAAGUUUCGUUAACGUUUAUCUCUAGUUCUCUACAAAUCGGAUUGUUUCUUAUUACUGUGCGUUCUGAAGAACUUGUAUAAUACCCAUGUGACAAGAAUGUCGGCAAGACAGAACCUUGGACAGACAGUAAAAAUAAAGGAGUAAGAGGCCGUGGACGUCCCAGAAAAUCCCAGCCUAUUUUGCAAAAUCUGACUCAAGUACAAAAAGAUCUUCUCAACGAAGAAAAUCAGAUGCUGCUCGAUGAGUCUUCUGGUCAGGCCUCACAAGCCAAUGAGAUUCAUACUUUAGAUGAGCCCCCAGAUCAACUUCUCACUGCAGAUGGUACAGAAUGGCUGGUAGUGGAUUCAAGAAAUGAGGAUGAAGAAAUAAUUCCAUCAAGUCCGAAGGUUCCAGAUCCACCACCCAAAACGCAGCCAAUUCCAGCUUUCAAGCAAUAUACUUUUCUUCAAUAAACGGAACAAGAACUUUAUGUAGUUCAUUUACUAGUUUGAAUGGAAAAAAUGUGGAGCAAUAGAAGUCAAUAAAGAAAAAAGUAUUUUGUA
Molecule: long non-coding RNA, 1170 nt
Organism: Daphnia magna
Lineage: Eukaryota; Metazoa; Arthropoda; Branchiopoda; Diplostraca; Daphniidae
Exons: 2
Source: RefSeq, a predicted model, not a curated record